GUCAGAAUGGCCGAGUGGUCUAAGGCGCCAGACUCAAGGUUUAAUACCUUCCAGCUAGCUGAGCCUUCUGGUCUCCAGAUGGAGGCGUGGGUUCAAAUCCCACUUCUGACA
This 111-nucleotide transfer RNA is filed under the name Pangasianodon hypophthalmus (striped catfish). It matches the Rfam family "tRNA". From Rfam's summary of the family: Transfer RNA (tRNA) molecules are approximately 80 nucleotides in length. Their secondary structure includes four short double-helical elements and three loops (D, anti-codon, and T loops). The record is from Rfam by way of RNAcentral. Lineage: Eukaryota; Metazoa; Chordata; Actinopteri; Siluriformes; Pangasiidae.